RNAcentral lists this ribosomal RNA (630 nucleotides) under Xylaria bambusicola. RNAcentral's name for it is "eukaryotic LSU rRNA". It matches the Rfam family "Eukaryotic large subunit ribosomal RNA", at positions 754 to 1382 of the family's 3401-position model. The record is from RNAcentral. Lineage: Eukaryota; Fungi; Ascomycota; Sordariomycetes; Xylariales; Xylariaceae.
UGCAUCAUCGACCGAUCCUGAUGUCUUCGGAUGGAUUUGAGUAAGAGCAUAACUGUUCGGACCCGAAAGAUGGUGAACUAUGCGUGGAUAGGGUGAAGCCAGAGGAAACUCUGGUGGAGGCUCGCAGCGGUUCUGACGUGCAAAUCGAUCGUCAAAUCUGCGCAUGGGGGCGAAAGACUUAUCGAACCAUCUAGUAGCUGGUUACCGCCGAAGUUUCCCUCAGGAUAGCAGUGUUGUUCUUCAGUUUUAUGAGGUAAAGCGAAUGAUUAGGGACUCGGGGGCGCUUUUUAGCCUUCAUCCAUUCUCAAACUUUAAAUAUGUAAGAAGCCCUUGUUACUUAAUUGAACGUGGGCAUUCGAAUGUACCAACACUAGUGGGCCAUUUUUGGUAAGCAGAACUGGCGAUGCGGGAUGAACCGAACGCGGGGUUAAGGUGCCGGAGUGGACGCUCAUCAGACACCACAAAAGGUGUUAGCACAUUUAGACAAUAGGACGGUGGCCAUGGAAGUCGGAAUCCGCUAAGGACUGUGUAACAACUCACCUAUCGAAUGUGCUAGCCCUGAAAMUGGAUGGCGCUCAAGCGUCCCACCCAUACCUCGCCCUCCAGGGUAGAAACGAUGCCCUGAGGAGU